GCCUGGCUAGCUCAGUCCAUAGAGCAUAGGACUCUUAAUCCCAGGGUCAUGGGUUCGAGCCCCAUAUUGGGCA
RNAcentral lists this transfer RNA (73 nucleotides) under Mus spretus (western wild mouse). RNAcentral's name for it is "tRNA-Lys (CTT) (tRNA-Lys-CTT-6-1)". It matches the Rfam family "tRNA". From Rfam's summary of the family: Transfer RNA (tRNA) molecules are approximately 80 nucleotides in length. Their secondary structure includes four short double-helical elements and three loops (D, anti-codon, and T loops). The record is from RNAcentral. Lineage: Eukaryota; Metazoa; Chordata; Mammalia; Rodentia; Muridae.